RNAcentral lists this ribosomal RNA (253 nucleotides) under uncultured bacterium. Its description in RNAcentral is "partial 16S ribosomal RNA". It matches the Rfam family "Bacterial small subunit ribosomal RNA", at positions 524 to 776 of the family's 1533-position model. The record is from RNAcentral.
UACGAAGGGGGCUAGCGUUGUUCGGAUUUACUGGGCGUAAAGCGCGUGUAGGCGGACUUGUAAGUUGGGGGUGAAAUCCCGAGGCUCAACCUCGGAACUGCCUCCAAAACUACAAGUCUGGAGCAAGAUAGAGGCAAGUGGAAUUGCGAGUGUAGAGGUGAAAUUCGUAGAUAUUCGCAGGAACACCAGUGGCGAAGGCGACUUGCUGGAUCUCUGCUGACGCUGAGACGCGAAAGCGUGGGGAGCAAACAGG